CAAUAGCGUAUAUUAAAGUUGUUGCGGUUAAAAAGCUCGUAGUUGGAUUUCUGCUGAGAACGACCGGUCCGCCCUUUGGGUGUGUAUCUGGCUCUUUCUUGGCAUCUUCUUGGUGAACGUUGCUGCACUUGACUGUGUGGAGCGCUACCCAGGACUUUUACUUUGAGGAAAUUGGAGUGUUUCAAGCAGGCAUACGCCUUGAAUACAUUAGCAUGGAAUAAUAAGAUAGGACCUCGGUUCUAUUUUGUUGGUUUCUAGAGCUGAGGUAAUGAUUAAUAGGGACAGUUGGGGGUAUUCGUAUUGCAUUGUCAGAGGUGAAAUUCUUGGAUUUUUGCAAGACGAACGACUGCGAAAGCAUUUACCAAGGAUGUUUUCAUUAA
Molecule: ribosomal RNA, 380 nt
Filed under: uncultured eukaryote
Lineage: Eukaryota
Description: partial 18S ribosomal RNA
Rfam family: Eukaryotic small subunit ribosomal RNA
Source: RNAcentral